GACAGAGGGGGCAAGCGUUGCUCGGAAUCACUGGGCGUAAAGGGCGCGUAGGCGGGAUGGCAAGUCAGUCGUGAAAUCUCUCGGCUCAACCGAGAAACGUCGGCUGAUACUGCCGUUCUUGAGGGAUGCAGAGGAGACUGGAAUUCCCGGUGUAGCGGUGAAAUGUGUAGAGAUCGGGAGGAACACCGGUGGCGAAGGCGGGUCUCUGGGCAUUUCCUGACGCUGAGGAGCGAAAGUGUGGGGAGCGAACAGG
RNAcentral lists this ribosomal RNA (253 nucleotides) under uncultured bacterium. Its description in RNAcentral is "partial 16S ribosomal RNA". It matches the Rfam family "Bacterial small subunit ribosomal RNA", at positions 524 to 776 of the family's 1533-position model. The record is from RNAcentral.